This 242-nucleotide ribosomal RNA is filed under the name uncultured bacterium. Its description in RNAcentral is "partial 16S ribosomal RNA". It matches the Rfam family "Bacterial small subunit ribosomal RNA", at positions 524 to 765 of the family's 1533-position model. The record is from RNAcentral.
UACGUAGGGACCAAGCGUUGUUCGGAUUUACUGGGCGUAAAGGGCGCGUAGGCGGCAAUUCAAGUCAUCUGUGAAAUCUCCGGGCUUAACUCGGAACGGUCAGAUGAUACUGCUUUGCUAGAGUGCGGAAGGGGCAAUCGGAAUUCUCAGUGUAGCGGUGAAAUGCGUAGAUAUCUGGAGGAACACCGGUGGCGAAGGCGACAUCCUGGACCGGCAUUGACGCUGAGGCGCGAAAGCCAGGG